CUACGGGACGCUGCAGUAGGGAAUUUUGCGCAAUGGGCGAAAGCCUGACGCAGCGACGCCACGUGUGGGAAGAAGGGUUUCGGCUCGUAAACCACUGUCAGGUGGGACGAUGAGAUAAAUAAUUAAUACUUAUUUAUUUUGACGGUACCGCCAAAGGAAGCACCGGCUAACUACGUGCCAGCAGCCGCGGUAAUACGUAGGGUGCAAGCGUUGCUCGGAAUCAUUGGGCGUAAAGGGUGCGUAGGCGGAAUAGCAAGUCAGAUGUGAAAGCCUUGAGCUUAACUCAAGAAGUGCAUUUGAUACUGUUAAUCUAGAGUGCGGGAGAGGAAAGUAGAAUUCCUGGUGUAGAGGUGGAAUCCGUAGAUAUCAGGAGGAAUACCGGAGGCGAAGGCGACUUUCUGGACCGACACUGACGCUGAGGCACGAAAGCGUGGGUAGCAAACAGGAUUAGAUACCCCGGUAGUC
This 465-nucleotide ribosomal RNA is filed under the name uncultured bacterium. RNAcentral's name for it is "partial 16S ribosomal RNA". It matches the Rfam family "Bacterial small subunit ribosomal RNA", at positions 339 to 795 of the family's 1533-position model. The record is from RNAcentral.